This 458-nucleotide ribosomal RNA is filed under the name uncultured bacterium. RNAcentral describes it as "partial 16S ribosomal RNA". It matches the Rfam family "Bacterial small subunit ribosomal RNA", at positions 338 to 795 of the family's 1533-position model. The record is from RNAcentral.
CCUACGGGAGGCUGCAGUGAGGAAUAUUGGUCAAUGGGCGAGAGCCUGAACCAGCCAAGUCGCGUGAGGGAGUACUGCCCUAUGGGUUGUAAACCUCUUUUGUCGGGGAGCAAAAGCCGGACGUGUCCGGCUGUGAGAGUACCCGAAGAAAAAGCAUCGGCUAACUCCGUGCCAGCAGCCGCGGUAAUACGGAGGAUGCGAGCGUUAUCCGGAUUUAUUGGGGUUAAAGGGUGGGCAGGCGGGUUUUUAAGUCAGCGGUCAAAUCGUGGGGCUCAACCCCAUCCAGCCGUUGAAACUGGGGAUCUAGAGUGUGCGAGAGGUAUGCGGAAUGCGUGGUGUAGCGGUGAAAUGCAUAGAUAUCACGCAGAACCCCGAUUGCGAAGGCAGCAUACCGGUGCACAACUGACGCUCAGGCACGAAAGCGUGGGUAUCGAACAGGAUUAGAUACCCGAGUAGUC